GGCAGGGUCUCAUUCUGUCACCCAGACUGGGAUGUGGUGGUGUUAUCAUAGCUUACUGUAAUCUUCAACUGCUGGGCUCAAGCAAUCCUCCAGGCUCAGCCUCUGAGUAGCUAAGAUUAAAGGCAUGUGACACCAUGCCCAGCUUAUUUUAUUUUAUUUUUUUCAGAGACAAAAUCUUGCAUUAAAGCCCAAUCUGGUCUCAAACUCCUGUCCUCAAGUGAUCCUCCUGUCUAGGCCUAUUAAUCCCAAAGGGCUGGGAUUCCAAACAUCAGCAGCUGUGCUCAACCUUGAGGUUCUGGCUGUAAUCUGGCUGUUAUUUAUCGAAACAACAGAAGUUCUUGGUAUUAACGGUCAUUCUUCUUCAGAGAGUCACCCCACAAGACUCAGAUGAAUAUAGUUAAGAAGCCAAAAUGAGGUCAUUAUGGCAGAACAGAAUUGAUAGUGCACAUUAAAAGACAUUACACACUUUGGGUGAUUCAACUAAAUCAUAGUCUGAAAUGCAGUUACAAAGUGGUAAUGUUCAAACGAUCAUCUAUUAGUCAAAGUUACAAGAAAAGUCCUGGUUAUGUUGGUAAAAAUUGAUAUCUGUGAUUAUCCAUCUUCAAAUGAUUUGUUAAAUGUUUAUUAAGAUAAAAAAGUUACAUUUCAAAAGUAUUUAUAUUAUUUGUCAAUUCCUCCAUAACAAAUUAUCCCAAAAUAAAGUAUAAUAAUAAAAUUUUAAAAAAAGAUGAGAAACAUAUUCUUCACCACAAAAAAAAACAAAAAACCUUUAUUAUCUCGAAGUUUCUGUGGUGCAGGAAUCUGGGCAUGGCUUAACUGGGUCUUCUAUUCAGAGACUCUCACAAGUUAUAAUCAAUCUCACUCAAUGCUUGAUGGUGUAUUCAGUACUUUGAUAGCUGUUGUCCAGAAUUCCAUAUAAUGUGAGCCUCUUCAGUAUGGGAAGGUUUCUUCAUCAAAAUGUGCGAAGCCAAAAAAAAAGCCAUUGAAAAGAGUCCAAGACAGAAGUCACAUCUUUUGUCAACUAAUCACAGAAUCAACCUCUCAUCAUGUUUGCUGUAUUCUAUGCAACAGCAGCAAGUCUAUGGAUCCAGCUGACACCCAUGGGGAGGGUAUUAGACAAGGGUUGGAAUCCCAGGAGAUGGAGACCAUUAGAAACUACGUUAAUCUGCUGAUUACAGUAGUUUGCCAAAGAAUCCUGAGAUAAUAAUUCUGGGCUCAAAGUUCUUAUGAGGCACUGAGGCAGGACAAUAAAGGAACAGAAAAUAAUACUAUAUUAAUUGUAAUGAUUUACUAAUACUAAUAUACUGGUAUAAUGUACUAAAAUAGUAUACUACAUUUUUGGUAAUUUGUCCAGAAGUAAUAGAAACAAAUCC
This 1373-nucleotide non-coding RNA is filed under the name Pan troglodytes (chimpanzee). Lineage: Eukaryota; Metazoa; Chordata; Mammalia; Primates; Hominidae. The record is from RNAcentral.